Molecule: ribosomal RNA, 577 nt
Filed under: uncultured bacterium
Lineage: Bacteria
Description: partial 16S ribosomal RNA
Rfam family: Bacterial small subunit ribosomal RNA
Source: RNAcentral
UGGGGAAUUUUGGACAAUGGGCGAAAGCCUGAUCCAGCAAUGCCGCGUGUGUGAAGAAGGCCUUCGGGUUGUAAAGCACUUUUGUCCGGAAAGAAAUCCUUGGCUCUAAUACAGUCGGGGGGAUGACGGUACCGGAAGAAUAAGCACCGGCUAACUACGUGCCAGCAGCCGCGGUAAUACGUAGGGUGCAAGCGUUAAUCGGAAUUACUGGGCGUAAAGCGUGCGCAGGCGGUUUGCUAAGACCGAUGUGAAAUCCCCGGGCUCAACCUGGGAACUGCAUUGGUGACUGGCAGGCUAGAGUAUGGCAGAGGGGGGUAGAAUUCCACGUGUAGCAGUGAAAUGCGUAGAGAUGUGGAGGAAUACCGAUGGCGAAGGCAGCCCCCCUGGGCCAAUACUGACGCUCAUGCACGAAAGCGUGGGGAGCAAACAGGAUUAGAUACCCUGGUAGUCCACGCCCUAAACGAUGUCAACUAGUUGUUGGGGAUUCAUUUCCUAGUAACGUAGCUAACGCGUGAAGUUGACCGCCUGGGGGAGUACGGUCGCAAGAUUAAAACUCAAAUGAAUUGACGGGGUCAUA